RNAcentral lists this ribosomal RNA (571 nucleotides) under uncultured Glomeromycotina. Its description in RNAcentral is "SSU rRNA". It matches the Rfam family "Eukaryotic small subunit ribosomal RNA", at positions 548 to 1114 of the family's 1831-position model. Lineage: Eukaryota; Fungi; Glomeromycota. The record is from RNAcentral.
UUGGAGGGCAAGUCUGGUGCCAGCAGCCGCGGUAAUUCCAGCUCCAAUAGCGUAUAUUAAAGUUGUUGCAGUUAAAAAGCUCGUAGUUGAAUUUCGGGAUUGACACAUCGGUCGUGCCUUAAGGGGUAUGAACUGGUGUAGUCAAUUUCUCACCUUCUGGAGAACCACGAUGCCCUUAAUUGGGUGUCGCGGGGAACCAGGACCUUUACUUUGAAAAAAUUAGAGUGUUUAAAGCAGGCAUUUUGCUUGAAUACAUUAGCAUGGAAUAAUAAAAUAGGACGGCAUGAUUCUAUUUUGUUGGUUUCUAGGAUCACCGUAAUGAUUAAUAGGGAUAGUUGGGGGCAUUAGUAUUCAAUUGUCAGAGGUGAAAUUCUUGGAUUUAUUGAAGACUAACUACUGCGAAAGCAUUUGCCAAGGAUGUUUUCAUUAAUCAAGAACGAAAGUUAGGGGAUCGAAGACGAUCAGAUACCGUCGUAGUCUUAACCAUAAACUAUGCCGAUUAGGGAUCGGACGAAGUUAAUUUUAUAAUGACGCGUUCGGCACCUUACGGGAAACCAAAGUGUUUGGGUUC